GAAUCUUGGACAAUGGGCGCAAGCCUGAUCCAGCCAUGCCGCGUGAGUGAAGAAGGCCUUAGGGUUGUAAAACUCUUUCGCCGGAGAAGAUAAUGACGGUAUCCGGAGAAGAAGCCCCGGCUAACUUCGUGCCAGCCGCCGCGGUAAUACGACGGGGGCUAGCGUUGUUCGGAAUUACUGUGCGUAAAGCGCACGUAGGCGGGUCUGUAAGUAGGGGGUGAAAUCCCCGGGCUCAACCCGGGGACUGCCUUCUAGACUGCAGGCCUGGAGGUCAGGAGAGGCGAGUGGAAUUCCGAGUGUAGAGGUGAAAUUCGUAGAUAUUCGGAGGAACACCAGUGGCGAAGGCGACUCGCUGGACUGAUACUGACGCUGAGGUGCGAAAGCGUGGGGAGCAAACAGG
RNAcentral lists this ribosomal RNA (400 nucleotides) under uncultured bacterium. RNAcentral's name for it is "bacterial SSU rRNA". It matches the Rfam family "Bacterial small subunit ribosomal RNA", at positions 359 to 776 of the family's 1533-position model. The record is from RNAcentral.